GACGAACGCUGGCGGCGUGCUUAACACAUGCAAGUCGAACGGGAGUAUUGAAGAAGCUUGCUUUAGAGAUACUUUAGUGGCGGACGGGUGAGUAACGCGUGAGGAGCUGUCCUAUGCAGGGGGACAACAGCUGGAAACGGCUGCUAAUACCCCAUAAGCCGAGAGGUAAAAGGAUCAAUCCGGCAGAGGAGGUACUCGCGUCCUAUCAGCUAGUAGGUGAGGUAACGGCUCACCUAGGCGAAGACGGGUAGCCGGCCUGAGAGGGCGAACGGCCACACUGGAACUGAGAUACGGUCCAGACUCCUACGGGAGGCAGCAGUGGGGAAUAUUGGGCAAUGGGGGAAACCCUGACCCAGCGACGCCGCGUGGGUGAAGAAAUCCUUCGGGAUGUAAAGCCCUGUUGUAUGGGAAGAGCGGAAGACGGUACCAUACGAGGAAGCCCCGGCAAACUACGUGCCAGCAGCCGACGGUAAACUAGUCUAACG
Molecule: ribosomal RNA, 485 nt
Filed under: uncultured bacterium
Lineage: Bacteria
Description: bacterial SSU rRNA
Rfam family: Bacterial small subunit ribosomal RNA
Source: RNAcentral